This 328-nucleotide ribosomal RNA is filed under the name uncultured eukaryote. RNAcentral's name for it is "partial 18S ribosomal RNA". It matches the Rfam family "Eukaryotic small subunit ribosomal RNA", at positions 1470 to 1796 of the family's 1831-position model. The record is from RNAcentral.
CCCUUAGAUGUCCUGGGCCGCACGCGCGUUACACUGAUGCAUUCAACGAGCUUAUAACCUUGGCCGAGAGGCCUGGGCAAUCUUGUUAACGUGCAUCGUGAUAGGGAUAGAUUAUUGAAAUUAUUAAUCUUGAACGAGGAAUUCCUAGUAAACGCAGAUCAUCAAUCUGCAUUGAUUACGUCCCUGCCCUUUGUACACACCGCCCGUCACACCUACCGAUUGGAUGGUCCGGUGAAGCCUCGGGAUUGUGGUUCUUGCCGCUUUGUUGUGGCGUGACCGCGAGAACUUGUCUAAACCUUAUCAUCUAGAGGAAGGUGAAGUCGUAACA